CCCUACUGCUAUCGGGGUGGGACUAAGACAUGCGAGUCGAGCGUCUCCAGCUAUGGUGAGACGCGGCAGACGGCUCAGUAACACGUGGCUAACCUACCCUCAGGACAGGGACAAACCCGGGAAACUGGGGCUAAUACCCGAUAGGCGAGGGCGCCUGGAAUGGUUCUUCACCCAAAGGGCUUUGGAAGCAUGCUUUUCAAAGUCGCCUGGGGAUGGGGCCGCGUCCGAUCAGGUUGUUGGUGAGGUAACGGCUCACCAAGCCUAUAACCGGUACGGGCCGUGAGAGCGGUAGCCCGGAGAUGGGCACUGAGACAAGGGCCCAGGCCCUACGGGGCGCAGCAGUCGCGAAAACUCCGCAAUGCACGAAAGUGUGACGGGGCUACCCCGAGUGCCGUCCGCUGAGGAUGGCUUUUCCUUGGUGUAACUAGCCGGGGGAAUAAGGAGAGGGCAAGACUGGUGUCAGCCGCCGCGGUAAUACCAGCUCUCCGAGUGGUAGGGAUGAUUAUUGGGCUUAAAGCGUCCGUAGCCGGCUUAGCAAGUCUCCUGUUAAAUUCAGCGACCUAAUCGUUGAGCCGCGGGAGAUACUACUAGGCUAGGAGGCGGGAGAGGCCGACGGUACUUCCGGGGUAGGGGUGAAAUCCUAUAAUCCCGGGCGGACCACCAGUGGCGAAGGCUGUCGGCUAGAACGCGCUCGACGGUGAGGGACGAAAGCUGGGGGAGCGAACCGGAUUAGAUACCCGGGUAGUCCCAGCCGUAAACGAUGCGGGCUAGGUGUUGGGGUGGCUACGUGCCACUUCAGUGCCGCAGGGAAGCCAUUAAGCCCGCCGCCUGGGGAGUACGGCCGCAAGGCUGAAACUUAAAGGAAUUGGCGGGGGAGCACCACAAGGCGUGAAGCUUGCGGUUC
RNAcentral lists this ribosomal RNA (904 nucleotides) under uncultured archaeon. RNAcentral describes it as "bacterial SSU rRNA". It matches the Rfam family "Archaeal small subunit ribosomal RNA", at positions 21 to 903 of the family's 1478-position model. The record is from RNAcentral.